RNAcentral lists this ribosomal RNA (309 nucleotides) under Xanthomonas vasicola pv. vasculorum NCPPB 890. RNAcentral describes it as "bacterial LSU rRNA". It matches the Rfam family "Bacterial large subunit ribosomal RNA", at positions 1011 to 1316 of the family's 2925-position model. The record is from RNAcentral. Lineage: Bacteria; Pseudomonadati; Pseudomonadota; Gammaproteobacteria; Lysobacterales; Lysobacteraceae.
UGAAAAGGGAAACAACCCAGACCCACAGCUAAGGUCCCAAAUUCACUGCUAAGUGGAAAACGAUGUGGAAAGGCAUAGACAGCCAGGAGGUUGGCUUAGAAGCAGCCACCCUUUAAAGAAAGCGUAAUAGCUCACUGGUCGAGUCGGUCUGCGCGGAAGAUUUAACGGGGCUAAGCAGUGAACCGAAGCUUGGGGUGCAUAAAACUUGUUUUAUGCGCGGUAGAGGAGCGUUCCGUAAGCCUGCGAAGGUGGAUUGAGAAGUCUGCUGGAGGUAUCGGAAGUGCGAAUGCUGACAUGAGUAACGAUAAU